Molecule: long non-coding RNA, 2393 nt
Filed under: Triticum aestivum (bread wheat)
Lineage: Eukaryota; Viridiplantae; Streptophyta; Magnoliopsida; Poales; Poaceae
Description: long non-coding RNA (TAES_LNC005836)
Source: RNAcentral
GCGCAUGCAUCACAACUUGGGCCCUUGCCAGAAGCAAAUGGACAAAACGAAAUGUUCGCCGGAUAUAUAAAUCCCCCCUUCACCUUCGUGGGAGUGGACAGCCAAGGAAGGAAAGUUGAUUCCUUGCGUGGAAUGGCAUGGCAAUGCUCAGGAGGUGAAAAGGGAAACCCCGUCGGAUGAACAGUUUGUCUGGAGAUCGGUCAUGGUUUACCAGGAGGAGAAGAGAGCAGCUGUAUUUACCACCCUGUGCUUCCACCCUGGAUGUGGCCUAUUUUUAUUUUCUUGAUGUUGUCCCGCACAGCAGCCGCCCAGUGCGCGUCUUGUUUUGCCCGUCUUGAAUCUUCUGACACCUUCGUUGUUUUCGUCCAAAGCUUACAUUACCCUGUUUCUGUUCCUUUCUGUUACUGCCUCCAGGAAUGCUUGUAGUAGUAACAUUGUAACUAAUUCAGUUUCGUCUGUUUGAUCUUUCUACCCUACCUGUUGCCCUUGGUGUAGUUGGUGGCUCGCUUGUAAAGAAGUUGUGGUCCGUGAUAAUUUUACCCGUUUGUUUUUUGGUUCAACUGAAUCCGUUCUCUUCGUGACCGUGUUUGUUUUCCAUGCUUUUUUCUGUAAAUUAAUCGCCUCGGCAGAGUCCCAGCUGUUGUGUGUUCUGUCAGAGUAUAUGUUAAGAAAUUAGUCAAACAAGCAUGGCAGCACUCAUGGCUAGGUCCUGACAGGAAAAUAAAUACUUGACACUCUUGGCUUAGCAGUCGCCACCAAAGCCAUGUCGGAUACCGAUGGUUUCCAAGGAGGAGCACGUAUAUACUUGAGCAGAAAGAGGGUACACGGUGAUCGUGAUUGUGGUCACAAACAGACUCCUCACACCGCAAGUCAUCUAUUCGUCCGGUACAGCACGUGCUCCGGGCCCGUGUGUUUGGUUGAAGUCAUGGACCUAUGGCCGGGCACCCCAAACCGGUCUUAUACAUCCGGUCGGGCUGCCUGGUCAUGUUUUUUUAAUCCAGACAGCCCCUUCAAACGAGCUUAAAAUGCCCGGUUGAUCAACAUCCCUCAUAUCAUCUCAAAUAUAAGGCAGACAUGGGAAUGUUUGGACACACCCGUGUAGGAUAGAUGAAGGGGUCCCUGGAGGACUCGCCUUGAAACCCGACGGUUCGACGGACGCCUUUUUCGUUGCCGCAUGGCCCUGUUCCUGCUCGCCGCCCGAGAGAAAAUCCGUCUAUUUAACCCAGCUGGAGUCCCGCAACCCUAGUCCAUCCACACACCCCUUCUCCGCACCAUUAGUCCGAGCCCAUCCACCUCCCUCUCCCGCUCCGGUGCUCCGCCCACGCUCUGGUGGUCCACCAUGGCCCGGAGGAAGAUCACCUACUACGGGAACGCCGCACCGAGAUCAAGCAGGAGAGCCGGGCGAGACAAGCCGCGCGCGCAGCCCGCAUCGCUGCCGAGCUGCCUCCGGACUCGCUGGAGCCGGAGGAGGAGGAGCAGCCGGGGGAAGGAGGAGGAGGAGCUGCUCCGAUGGAGGUGGAUGAGGCGGAGGAAUAGCUGUCGGGCUUCAACAUGGAGCAGGCGGAGGCGGAUUUCGCCGUCGCCCGGUCCGACGAGAUGGCGGAGCAGCAAGCCAUCCUGGAGUCCAUCCAGGAUGAGGCCUAUGUGGAGGCCAACCGGCCAUUCCUCCGGCAGGAGCAGGCGGCGUCGGACGCGCUCUUCGCCGAACUCGACACGGAGAUAGAGACGGAGAAGGCCGGAGCGGAGCAGCCGGAGGCGUCAGAAAAGGAGCCAGAGCUGCAGCCGCCGACAAUCCUACCGGAGCCGGGCACGGAGAUCGUCGACAUCUCCGACGAUGAGUAGCUAGGUGAUCAACGCAGUAUGUAGGUUAUUUUGUUUGCAUGUCCUUGUAUGAAUUUAAGAAUCUAGUAUGAGAUGUUGGGAUGCAACAAUUGAAAUUUGAGACAUGUACAGUCACUGCUCCGCGGGCGUUUGAGGGGCCAUAUUUGACAUAUCUGCUUAUAGAUGCUCUAAGGGCAACUCCAACGGAUGGACGUCCGUUUUAUUCAGAUUUUGUCCAUUUGAGGAUGGUAAUGGGGCAGCGUCCGUCUGGAUUUUUGCCUACGCACGACCGCAUCAUGUUCGCCUGCAUGGAAAUUUUUGAAAGCAACAAAAGAUGUAGCUAAUGCUAUCGGCCGCGGUUCAUGCGGCCGGCAACAAAGUCAGCGGCCUACAGAAUGUCGCCCCCUAAUUUCACGUCGGCAACAAAUGACCGGCAUACUAGUCAACCUUUAAAAUGAACAUGUUCCUAACGACAGCAAUAAAGCCAGUGGACAGCACAUGAGUCGGCCUUCAAAAUGAACAAUUUUUUGACGCCGACAACAAAGCCAUCCUACUGUUGCCCUUGAUGUAGU